This 30-nucleotide non-coding RNA is filed under the name Homo sapiens (human). The record is from RNAcentral. Lineage: Eukaryota; Metazoa; Chordata; Mammalia; Primates; Hominidae.
UCUCAAUGAGCUGUUGGGUACACCUCCCAG